GACGAACGCUGGCGGCGUGCUUAACACAUGCAAGUCGAACGGAAAGGCCCUGCUUUUGUGGGGUGCUCGAGUGGCGAACGGGUGAGUAACACGUGAGUAACCUGCCCUUGACUUUGGGAUAACUUCAGGAAACUGGGGCUAAUACCGGAUAGGAGCUCCUGCUGCAUGGUGGGGGUUGGAAAGUUUCGGCGGUUGGGGAUGGACUCGCGGCUUAUCAGCUUGUUGGUGGGGUAGUGGCUUACCAAGGCUUUGACGGGUGGCCGGCCUGAGAGGGUGACCGGCCACAUUGGGACUGAGAUACGGCCCAGACUCCUACGGGAGGCAGCAGUGGGGAAUAGUGCACAAUGGGCGGAAGCCUGAUGCAGCAACGCCGCGUGCGGGAUGACGGCCUUCGGGUUGUAAACCGCUUUCGCCUGUGACGAAGCGUGAGUGACGGUAAUGGGUAAAGAAGCACCGGCUAACUACGUG
RNAcentral lists this ribosomal RNA (468 nucleotides) under uncultured bacterium. RNAcentral describes it as "partial 16S ribosomal RNA". It matches the Rfam family "Bacterial small subunit ribosomal RNA", at positions 28 to 507 of the family's 1533-position model. The record is from RNAcentral.